RNAcentral lists this ribosomal RNA (797 nucleotides) under uncultured bacterium. Its description in RNAcentral is "bacterial SSU rRNA". It matches the Rfam family "Bacterial small subunit ribosomal RNA", at positions 8 to 796 of the family's 1533-position model. The record is from RNAcentral.
AGAGUUUGAUCAUGGCUCAGGACGAACGCUGGCGGCGUUAACACAUGCAAGUCGAGCGGAAAGGCUUCCUUCGGGAAGUACUCGAGCGGCGAACGGGUGAGUAACACGUGGAUAAUCAACCUCUUGCUCUGGAAUACCCCGGGGAAACUCGGAUCAAUGCCAGAUAAAGUGCGGCGCCGUCGGGUGUCGUACCAAAGAUAGCUUCGGCCUUCGGCGAGAGACGAGUCCGCGGCCCAUUAGCUUGUUGGCGGGGUAAUGGCCCACCAAGGCUACGAUGGGUAGCUGGUCUGAGAGGAUGAUCAGCCACACUGGGACUGAGACACGGCCCAGACUCCUACGGGAGGCAGCAGUGGGGAAUCUUGCGCAAUGGGCGAAAGCCUGACGCAGCAACGCCGCGUGCGGGAGGAAGGCCUUCGGGUUGUAAACCGCUUUCAGGAGAGACGAAGCUUCCAGGGUUAAUAGCUCUGCGGAGUGACGGUAUCUUCAGAAGAAGUCCCGGCUAACUACGUGCCAGCAGCCGCGGUGAUACGUAGGGGACAAGCGUUGUCCGGAAUUAUUGGGCGUAAAGCGCGUGUAGGCGGCCAAGUAAGUCUUACGUGAAAUCCUGAGGCUCAACCUCAGGCCUGCGCGGGAUACUGCUUGGCUAGAGUCCGGAAGAGGAGAGGAAUUCCUGGUGUAGCGGUGGAAUGCGCAGAUAUCAGGAGGAACAUCCGUGGCGAAGGCGGCUCUCUGGGACGGUACUGACGCUGANNNNCGAAAGCGUGGGGAGCGAACAGGAUUAGAUACCCUAGUAGUCC